UAGGGAAUCUUCGGCAAUGGGGGGAACCCUGACCGAGCAACGCCGCGUGAGUGAAGAAGGUUUUCGGAUCGUAAAGCUCUGUUGUUAAGGAAGAACGAGUGUGAGAAUGGAAAGUUCAUGCUGUGACGGUACUUAACCAGAAAGGGACGGCUAACUACGUGCCAGCAGCCGCGGUAAUACGUAGGUCCCGAGCGUUGUCCGGAUUUAUUGGGCGUAAAGCGAGCGCAGGCGGUUAGAAAAGUCUGAAGUGAAAGGCAGUGGCUCAACCAUUGUAGGCUUUGGAAACUGUUUAACUUGAGUGCAGAAGGGGAGAGUGGAAUUCCAUGUGUAGCGGUGAAAUGCGUAGAUAUAUGGGGGAACACCGGUGGCGAAAGCGGCUCUCUGGUCUGUAACUGACGCUGAGGCUCGAAAGCGUGGGGAGCGAACAGG
Molecule: ribosomal RNA, 429 nt
Filed under: Bacteroidota bacterium
Lineage: Bacteria; Pseudomonadati; Bacteroidota
Also listed under: 1 other name
Description: Bacteroidetes bacterium partial 16S ribosomal RNA
Rfam family: Bacterial small subunit ribosomal RNA
Source: RNAcentral